CGUAACGCGUAUACAAUCUACCUUUUGCUGAGGGAUAGCCCAGAGAAAUUUGGAUUAAUACCUCAUAGUAUUAUCGAGUGGCAUCAUUUAAUAAUUAAAGGUUACGGCAAAAGAUGAGUAUGCGUACCAUUAGUUUGUUGGUAAGGUAACGGCUUACCAAGACUACGAUGGUUAGGGGUCCUGAGAGGGAGAUCCCCCACACUGGUACUGAGACACGGACCAGACUCC
Molecule: ribosomal RNA, 228 nt
Filed under: uncultured bacterium
Lineage: Bacteria
Description: partial 16S ribosomal RNA
Rfam family: Bacterial small subunit ribosomal RNA
Source: RNAcentral